UCGAAAUGUGGAUGGUUCGGUUUCUUCGGCCCAAUUGGCCAGCCCUAAUGCUUAGCCCAAGGAUUGAGCAAGCCCAAGUCAUCAUCACUGGGUGUCAGAUUUUAUUGGCAUGCUUUUGGGGAUGAUUUGUUUUGAGUGAUGCAUCUCUAUUGUUGUGUAGAAUAGUGCAUGCUUAAGUUUUACUAUAGAGAUUUACCGUGAUGCUAAUUGAGUAGCGAAACGCUUUGUGAGAAUGUUUACUGUGCUUGUAUGCCAGUACAGGAUGAUGAUCUAUGUGAAGAUCUAUGUGAUGAUCUAUGAGAUGAUCUAUGUGAAGAUCUAUGUGAGGAUCCAUGUGGUGAUUUUGUGUGAGUUUACUUUUGUGAUGAAAGAAUUUGUGGCCUUAGGAAUGUAUUUUUAUACAAAGGGCUGUGGCUUUGUAGAUUACUACAGCUUUGGAAAGGAUGGAGAUUCGAUGGUUAGGUUAACCGUAAUCGAGAGCAAUUAACUUGCGCUUAAAUUUCGGGACGAAAUUUCUUUAAGGAGGGUGGAUUGUAAUACCCGAAAAAUUCAAGUUAAUUUCCGAUGACGUUUUGGAAAUGAUUUCGUGGUCGUGGACACGAGUACGAAGCUUAGAGGAGUGUGGAAUUAGUUCGAACGAUUUUAUUUUGAAAACUGAACGUUUUAGGGGGGUCAAAGGAGUUGACUUUUUAUACAUUGGGAAAUUGGGAAAACUUCCUUCAUGAAAGUUGUAGAGCGCGUCGAUACGAGUUCGUGGACAUAUGGAACGUAAUAUUCGGAGUUCGUAUGAAUAAGUUACGAAUAUUUGAAAAUUGGGAUUUUCUAUAAAUAUGAAAAAAAAAUCCGAAUAUUGCAAAUGAGGACAGAAUUUCUGGAACUCCAGAAAUUUCUCCCCAUUUCUCUCCCGAGCCCAGCCGCGACCCCCUCCCUUCGUCACCUUCGUUCUUCCUCAUCCGGCCACCGAUUGAUGUGAAACAAAGUGGGUUUUUCUAGUCUCGACCCCCUUUACGAGUUUGUAGAAGAAAUCGAAGUGAAAUACGAGCUGUAUGAGGCUCUACAAGGUCGAGAAGAGAGCCUCGUCGGAGACGAAAUCGCUCUUCCCCACUUUUUCUGGGCUCUACUUUUUCUGGCCAUAUCUUCCUCUACAGGCCUCCGAUCGACCUGAUUCCAAAAGCAAUUUUUCUCACCGUGAAGUUUUCUACAACUUUCCAGAAGACAUCGACUUGAGAUAACCAUCGUGGUGGCCGCUAGAAGACCGAGAAGCCGCACAGCCGAGCUGGAAAUCGUCUUCCUUCGCCACCUUGGUUCUCCCAGCUCCGGCCACUAUAGCUCGAGUUCUUUGAGGGCUUUUCUAGCCCAGAGGAAGUAGAAGCUAUCCCCAAGAAGGCUUGCAGUGAUUUGAUCCGGGGUGAUCGAAUUUUGAAGAUUGGGAAACUAGGGUUCUUCGGGUUUCAAAACUUGCGAGGUGAUUGACGGUCUUCCUUGGGUGAGCGAUUUCGGUGUGUAUUGUGUUGAAUUGAAGACGCAGCGGGAAUAUCGAGCGGGUAAUCCUGCAGGUCAGGAGAAUCAGGACGGUGAUCGUGCGGGUUAGAGAAUUUGUUUUAGUUUUACAGCAAUUGUAAUUGUGAGGUGAGUUAUGCUCAUUUGAGCCUUACAAUAUAAUUUGGUGAGAGUGUGCUGUAAUAAACAAAUUUGAGAUUUGGUUUAUGUAAUAUCGAGCGAUGUGAGGUGUGGUUGUUUUGAGAAAAAAAUUCAGGUUGUAUUUAUGUGAGUUGUAUUAAUUCAUGUUUCGGAUUUUGAAUUGAUUAUUCAAAAUUCGG
Molecule: long non-coding RNA, 1820 nt
Organism: Rosa rugosa (rugosa rose)
Lineage: Eukaryota; Viridiplantae; Streptophyta; Magnoliopsida; Rosales; Rosaceae
Exons: 3
Source: RefSeq, a predicted model, not a curated record